GAGUAACACGUGGGCAACCUGCCUGUAAGUUGGGGAUAACUCCGGGAAACCGGGGCUAAUACCGAAUGAUAAAGUGUGGCGCAUGCCACGCUUUUGAAAGAUGGUUUCGGCUAUCGCUUACAGAUGGGCCCGCGGUGCAUUAGCUAGUUGGUAGGGUAAUGGCCUACCAAGGCAACGAUGCAUAGCCGACCUGAGAGGGUGAUCGGCCACACUGGG
RNAcentral lists this ribosomal RNA (216 nucleotides) under Listeria monocytogenes. RNAcentral's name for it is "partial 16S ribosomal RNA". It matches the Rfam family "Bacterial small subunit ribosomal RNA", at positions 108 to 317 of the family's 1533-position model. The record is from RNAcentral. Lineage: Bacteria; Bacillati; Bacillota; Bacilli; Caryophanales; Listeriaceae.